UUGGAGGGCAAGUCUGGUGCCAGCAGCCGCGGUAAUUCCAGCUCCAAUAGCGUAUAUUAAAGUUGUUGCAGUUAAAAAGCUCGUAGUUGAAUUUCGGGAUCAAUAUGUCGGUCGUGCUUCGGUACGUACUGGCGUAAUUGGUUUCUCCCUUCUGAAGAACCGCGGUGUCAUUAAUUUGGUGUCGUGGGGAAUCAGGACUGUUACUUUGAAAAAAUUAGAGUGUUUAAAGCAGGCUCGCGCUUGAAUACAUUAGCAUGGAAUAAUGAAAUAGGACGUCUGAUUCUAUUUUGUUGGUUUCUAGGAUCGACGUAAUGAUUAAUAGGGAUAGUUGGGGCAUUAGUAUUCAAUUGUCAGAGGUGAAAUUCUUGGAUUUAUUGAAGACUAACUACUGCGAAAGCAUUUGCCGAGGAUGUUUUCAUUAAUCAAGAACGAAAGUUAGGGGAUCGAAGACGAUCAGAUACCGUCGUAGUCUUAACCAUAAACUAUGCCGACUAGGGAUCGGAUGAUGUUGAUUUUUUAAUGACUCAUUCGGCACCUUACGGGAAAC
RNAcentral lists this ribosomal RNA (547 nucleotides) under uncultured Glomus. RNAcentral's name for it is "SSU rRNA". It matches the Rfam family "Eukaryotic small subunit ribosomal RNA", at positions 548 to 1098 of the family's 1831-position model. The record is from RNAcentral. Lineage: Eukaryota; Fungi; Glomeromycota; Glomeromycetes; Glomerales; Glomeraceae.